UCUCCGUUGGUGAACCAGCGGAGGGAUCAUUACAGAGUUGCAAAACUCCCUAAACCAUUGUGAACGUUACCUAAACCGUUGCUUCGGCGGGCGGCCCCGGGGUUUACCCCCCGGAACCAGGCGGCCCGCCGGGGGACCCAAACUCUAGAUUUUUAUUUUAGCAUGUCUGAGUGGAAUCAUUACAAAAUGAAUCAAAACUUUCAACAACGGAUCUCUUGGUUCUG
Molecule: unclassified non-coding RNA, 224 nt
Filed under: root metagenome
Description: partial contains small subunit ribosomal RNA, internal transcribed spacer 1, and 5.8S ribosomal RNA
Source: RNAcentral